RNAcentral lists this ribosomal RNA (494 nucleotides) under uncultured bacterium. RNAcentral's name for it is "bacterial SSU rRNA". It matches the Rfam family "Bacterial small subunit ribosomal RNA", at positions 29 to 516 of the family's 1533-position model. The record is from RNAcentral.
AACGAACGCUGGCGGCGCGCCUAAUACAUGCAAGUCGAGCGAGAAGGUGUAGCAAUACACUUGUAAAGCGGCGAACGGGUGAGGAAUACAUGGGUAAUCUACCAUCGAGUGGGGAAUAACCAACCGAAAGGUUGGCUAAUACCGCGUACGCCUCCGGAUCUUCGGGUUCGGAGGGAAAGCUGCACUGUGAGUGUAGCGCUCUUUGAUGAGCUCAUGUCCUAUCAGCUUGUUGGUAGGGUAACGGCCUACCAAGGCUUUGACGGGUAGCUGGUCUGAGAGGACGAUCAGCCACACUGGCACUGCGACACGGGCCAGACUCCUACGGGAGGCAGCAGUAAGGAAUAUUGCGCAAUGGGCGAAAGCCUGACGCAGCGACGCCGCGUGGGGGAUGAAGGUCUUCGGAUUGUAAACCCCUUUCGGGAGGGAAGGUGGAGCGAGCAAUCGUUCGGACGGUACCUCCAGAAGCAGCCACGGCCAACUUCGUGCCAGCAGCC